This 1386-nucleotide long non-coding RNA is filed under the name Homo sapiens (human). RNAcentral's name for it is "non-protein coding EIF3J-DT:29". The record is from RNAcentral. Lineage: Eukaryota; Metazoa; Chordata; Mammalia; Primates; Hominidae.
GAGUGCUGGGUCGGGCUUCCAGCUCCCUACAACGCAGACCAGUACUGGAGUUCGUGGUGCUGGAAGACCGCCGCCCGACUCUGGGCCCCGGGUAGGAAACAACAAUUUCGGACCUCCUGGGGUCUAUGCUAGGUAUGAGGUGUAUCUUUGCCCUCCAUCAAGUAGCAAAGAUGGACAUGUAAACAAAUUUCGACACUGUGAUGACUGCCACAAAAAGCAGCAUUAUGAGGUUGAAUGUAAAAGGAUAACCUUAGCGGCGGCGGGGGCCGGAGGAUGAAGGAAGGCUUCCUGAGGUAGGCGCUGGUUGAAACUGAAGUUGGAGAGAGCAAGUGGCAUUUGCUGAAGUGCAUUUCCGGUAGAAAACUCCAGUGGUCCCUCACCUGACUGAGUGGCGCAGUCAGAGAUAAAUGGAACAGAGUCUACAAAUAAACAUUUUAUAAAGAUGAUCCUUCAAUACAUAUUCUACAGCCCAGUUAAAAUGUGAGAGGCCAUGAUCUACAGACAGCCAUUUAUAAAGGUGGAUCAGGGCCGGACACGGUGGCUCAACGUCUGUAAUCCCGGCACUGUGGGAGGCCAAAGCGGGAGGAUCGCUUGAGCCCAGGAGUUCGAGACCAACCUGGCCAACAUGGUGAGACCCCAUCUUUACAAAAAAAUAUAUAUAUCCAGGCAUAGUGGUGUGCACCUGUGGUCCUGUGGUCCCAGCUACUCAGGAAGCUGAGGCAGUUGAGGCUGCAGUGAGCCACGUUCUGGCCACUACACUCCAGCCUGGGCAUCAAAGUGACAAGACCAAAAAAAAAAAAAAAUGUGGAUUGGAAGGAGGCAAGAAAGAAGUCAGGAAAAGGGUGGAAUGUAAGUCCCUAAGGACACAAUCUUACUCACAAUUGUAUCUCCAACAUUUGGCAUAAUGCCUAAUACGUAAGUAUUUUAUGAAUUAAUUAAACGAGAACACAAGCCUAAAUUAAGGCAAUGGCAAUGGAGAAGAAGAAACCAACUUGAGAAAUAUUUAAAGGUCAUUGUCAAUGGAACUUAGUGACUUUAAUGGUUAAUUUUAUCUAUCAACUUGGCUAGGCGAUGCUACCCAUGUUACUCAGUUUUUGGUCAAACACUAGUCUAGUUGUUGCUAUGAAUUGUAUUUGUUAGAUGUGAUUAACAUUUAAAUCAGCAGACUUUGAUUAAAGUACAUUACCCUCUAUAAUGAGGGUGGGCCGCAUCCGGUCAGUUCAAAUUAAAACGAGACCCUUAAGAAGAAGCAAUUCAGCCUCCAGACUGCAGCGUCAAAUCUCCCUGGGUCUCCAGGCUGUUUGUCUGCCCUGCAGAUUUCAGACUUGCCAGCUCCCAGAAUAAUGUGAGCCAAUUCCUUAAAAUAAAUCUCUUUCUGCAUAUACA